RNAcentral lists this ribosomal RNA (253 nucleotides) under uncultured bacterium. RNAcentral's name for it is "partial 16S ribosomal RNA". It matches the Rfam family "Bacterial small subunit ribosomal RNA", at positions 524 to 776 of the family's 1533-position model. The record is from RNAcentral.
UACGUAGGGUGCAAGCGUUGUCCGGAAUUAUUGGGCGUAAAGAGCUCGUAGGCGGUCUGUCGCGUCGGCUGUGAAAUCCCGAGGCUCAACCUCGGGUCUGCAGUCGAUACGGGCAAACUAGAGUAUUGCAGGGGAGACUGGAAUUCCUGGUGUAGCGGUGAAAUGCGCAGAUAUCAGGAGGAACACCGACGGCGAAGGCAGGUCUCUGGGCCACUACUGACGCUGAGAAGCGAAAGCAUGGGGAGCGAACAGG